RNAcentral lists this unclassified non-coding RNA (339 nucleotides) under Hevea brasiliensis (rubber tree). Lineage: Eukaryota; Viridiplantae; Streptophyta; Magnoliopsida; Malpighiales; Euphorbiaceae. The record is from RNAcentral.
GACCAAAUCCUUUGUGAUCCAAAAUAUAAUCAUAAUGAGGACCAAUGCCACUGUGAUGAUGAGAUCAUGAACUUUUCACCUUUGCACAAGUUUGUGGGAGCAAUAGCACAUCGUCUAUAUAGUCCUUUAUUACAGAAACUUGUUAAUGAAUAAAUGAUGCAGAAAUGCAAGUAAAUCACUACUUAACUAAAAAGAUCUGCUACAGCGAACACAAUAAUUCAUCCUCUUAAACCCCUGAAUGCUACUCAGUUUCUCACACAAGUUUGACACCAAAUAAAAUGAGGAAACAGAAAUGGAAUCACGAUAAGGAAAAAUAAAGAGUAUAAACAUGAGGCAUGG